ACUGAAUUUGACUCAGUAACAAGACCAAGUGACAAAUUUUCCAAAGGGACUGCUUUGAGUGGAGUAAUUUAGGACACUGAAACCAAAUGGCUCCAGGGCUGUUGGCAUAUUCCUGGUUUGACGUUUCCAGCAUCUGUAACUGUGGAGUGUGUGAGCAGUAAUUAGUGGGCACCAGACCUGGCCACCUACCCUGAGACUUUUCCUCCAUUGCAAGGCUGGUCACCUUCUGCUCCCAUAGCCCUGAGGACUUCACAUGCCUGUCCCAAAACACAUUUCAUCUGCAGUGUUGCAAUCUGUGGGUCCGUCAGGAAUAAACGUACAGAAGAAGGCUAAAUGAGUUUCCAGACCUUCACAGCCUUUGAUAAGCGCCAGUAAUGAUCUGAAGUCUGAC
Molecule: long non-coding RNA, 391 nt
Organism: Apus apus (common swift)
Lineage: Eukaryota; Metazoa; Chordata; Aves; Apodiformes; Apodidae
Exons: 3
Source: RefSeq, a predicted model, not a curated record